RNAcentral lists this transfer RNA (74 nucleotides) under Christensenella hongkongensis. Its description in RNAcentral is "Catabacter hongkongensis tRNA-Trp". It matches the Rfam family "tRNA". From Rfam's summary of the family: Transfer RNA (tRNA) molecules are approximately 80 nucleotides in length. Their secondary structure includes four short double-helical elements and three loops (D, anti-codon, and T loops). Further hydrogen bonds mediate the characteristic L-shaped molecular structure. tRNAs have two regions of fundamental functional importance: the anti-codon, which is responsible for specific mRNA codon recognition, and the 3' end, to which the tRNAs corresponding amino acid is attached (by aminoacyl-tRNA synthetases). tRNAs cope with the degeneracy of the genetic code in two manners: having more than one tRNA (with a specific anti-codon) for a particular amino acid; and 'wobble' base-pairing, i.e. permitting non-standard base-pairing at the 3rd anti-codon position. Lineage: Bacteria; Bacillati; Bacillota; Clostridia; Christensenellales; Christensenellaceae. RNAcentral also lists the same sequence under 6 other names. The record is from RNAcentral.
AGGGGUGUAGUAUAAUGGUAGUGCAUUGGUCUCCAAAACCAAUUGUGGGAGUUCGAUCCUCUCCACCCCUGCCA